AAAAUCCUUAUCCUAAUUGUCUGGAUCUCGAUAUGUGUUGUUGAACUGAAAUGAAUAGUUCUAACAGGUGGCAAUGCCUUAUCCAUUAAAUAUGCUGGAUUACAAAUAGUGUAUGAUGUGACAGCCAUUUUUCUUGUACUCUUUUUAGUAGUAGUAAAAUAUUCAAAUCUGGCUCUCUACGUCUCUUACAAAAUCUGCUGCCAUCGGAUGUGAAUAGUGACAUCAUAAGCUGGACAGAUCUUUUAUAAU
RNAcentral lists this long non-coding RNA (249 nucleotides) under Brassica rapa (field mustard). Its description in RNAcentral is "long non-coding RNA (BRAP_LNC007326)". Lineage: Eukaryota; Viridiplantae; Streptophyta; Magnoliopsida; Brassicales; Brassicaceae. The record is from RNAcentral.